Molecule: ribosomal RNA, 465 nt
Filed under: uncultured bacterium
Lineage: Bacteria
Description: partial 16S ribosomal RNA
Rfam family: Bacterial small subunit ribosomal RNA
Source: RNAcentral
GACGAACGCUGGCGGCGUGCUUAACACAUGCAAGUCGAACGGAAAGGCCCCUUUGGGGGUCCUCGAGUGGCGAACGGGGGAGUAACACGAGAGUAACCUGCCCUUGACUUCGGGAUAACUUCAGGAAACUGGGGCUAAUACCGGAUAGGAAUCCUUGCUGCAUGGUGGGGGUUGGAAAGCUUCGGCGGUUUUGGAUGGACUCGCGACGUAUCGGCUUGUUGGGGUGGUAGUGGCUUACCAAGGCGUUGACGGGUAGCCGGCCUGAGAGGGCGACCGGCCACAUUGGGACUGAGGUACGGCCCAGACACCGACGGGAGGCAGCAGUGGGGAAUAUUGCACAAUGGGCGGAAGCCUGAUGCAGCAACGCCGCGGGCGGGAUGACGGCCUUCUGGUUGAAAACCGCUUUCAGCAGGGGCGAAGCUUGUGGUGACGGUACCUGCAGAAGAAGCACCGGCUAACUACGUG